Molecule: long non-coding RNA, 615 nt
Organism: Syzygium oleosum
Lineage: Eukaryota; Viridiplantae; Streptophyta; Magnoliopsida; Myrtales; Myrtaceae
Exons: 2
Source: RefSeq, a predicted model, not a curated record
AAAAUGGCCGGCCAUUUGGUAAUACAAAUCUUUUUAAGGAUCGGCGAUGGGAGAAGCCGAUGAUUGCUCUAACAGACCAGCUCGGAUUUUUGAUUUGCAGAAUUCAAGAGGGCUUAUGGCCGGCUAAUUUCGCAAUCCAGGUUUAGCAUCGAUGGGUCCCGGUCUCUGGAUUUAGUUACAUGUGGUGUAGCGUGGUUAGUUCAUGGCCGACCUUUUUGCCGCCGUUUGGAGCCUUGUGGAUUGGAAUCAAGCGGUGGGUGCGGCUUCCUCAUAUUUUGGCGGGGUCUUCCAAAGCAUUGGAGGAGGAGAUGCUCGUUGGAGCUCCGCUUUGUCCCAUUUGGACAUGGGGAAUGAUUCUUCUUCUUUUUUUUUUUAAUCUUUUCCUUUAUCGUUCUUUUCUUUUUUUAUAAUCUUCAAUCUUGUUUCCCCCUUGGUGGGAUGGGGACGAGUCUUUAGUAGCAUGAAAGGGCUUCGAGGAGUUUAAGGUCUAGUCAGAAGGAAAUUUGAAAAACUCUCUGUAAUUGGUUGAUUUCUCAAGUUAUCCGUGAAAUUUCGAUGUAGUUGGUACGACUGUUAACUUAAUUGUCAAAUAAUUCGUUGAUAAAUUAUCAACAC